UCCGUUUGAUCCUGCCAGAGGUUACUGCUAUCGAGGUUCGACUAAGCCAUGCGAGUCGAAUGUAGCAAUACAUGGCGUACUGCUCAGUAACACGUGGACAACCUACCCUUAGGUCGGGGAUAAACCCGGGAAACUGGGUAUAAUACCCGAUAGAUCUCGGCUGCUGGAAUGCAUCGAGAUCGAAAGCUCCGGCGCCUAAGGAUGGGUCUGCGGCCUAUCAGGUAGUAGUGGGUGUAGCGUACCUACUAGCCUACGACGGGUACGGGUUGUGAGAGCAAGAGCCCGGAGAUGGAUUCUGAGACACGAAUCCAGGCCCUACGGGGUGCAGCAGGCGCGGAAACUUUACAAUGCUGGAAACAGCGAUAAGGGGACCUCGAGUGCCAGGUUACAAAUCUGGCUGUCGUGAUGCCUAAAAAGCAUUGCAUAGCAAGGGCCGGGCAAGACCGGUGCCAGCCGCCGCGGUAACACCGGCGGCUCGAGUGGUAACCGUUAUUAUUGGGUCUAAAGGGUCUGUAGCCGGCCGGAUAAGUCUCUUGGGAAAUCCAGCAGCUCAACUGUUGGGCUUUCAGGAGAUACUGUCUGGCUCGAGGCCGGGAGAGGUGAGAGGUACUUCAGGGGUAGGGGUGAAAUCUUGUAAUCCUUGAAGGACCACCAGUGGCGAAGGCGUCUCACCAGAACGGACCUGACGGCAAGGGACGAAAGCUAGGGGCACGAACCGGAUUAGAUACCCGGGUAGUCCUAGCCGUAAACGAUACUCGCUAGGUGUCGGCCACGGUGCGACCGUUGUCGGUGCCGUAGGGAAGCCGUGAAGCGAGCCACCUGGGAAGUACGGCCGCAAGGCUGAAACUUAAAGGAAUUGGCGGGGGAGCACCACAACGGGUGGAGCUUGCGGUUUAAUUGGAUUCAACGCCGGAAAUCUUACCGGGACCGACAGCAAUAUGAAGGCCAGGCUGAAGACUUUGCCGGAUUAGCUGAGAGGUGGUGCAUGGCCGUCGUCAGUUCGUACUGUGAAGCAUCCUGUUAAGUCAGGCAACGAGCGAGACCCA
Molecule: ribosomal RNA, 1046 nt
Filed under: uncultured archaeon
Lineage: Archaea
Description: bacterial SSU rRNA
Rfam family: Archaeal small subunit ribosomal RNA
Source: RNAcentral